Molecule: ribosomal RNA, 440 nt
Filed under: uncultured bacterium
Lineage: Bacteria
Description: partial 16S ribosomal RNA
Rfam family: Bacterial small subunit ribosomal RNA
Source: RNAcentral
CCUACGGGAGGCAGCAGUGGGGAAUAUUGGACAAUGGGGGAAACCCUGAUCCAGCGACGCCGCGUGAGUGAAGAAGUAUUUCGGUACGUAAAGCUCUAUCAGCAGGAAAGAAAAUGACGGUACCUGACUAAGAAGCCCCGGCUAACUACGUGCCAGCAGCCGCGGUAAUACGUAGGGGGCAAGCGUUAUCCGGAUUUACUGGGUGUAAAGGGAGCGUAGACGGCAGCGCAAGUCUGGAGUGAAAUGCCGGGGCCCAACCCCGGAACUGCUCUGGAAACUGUGAAGCUGGAGUGUCGGAGGGGCAGGCGGAAUUCCUAGUGUAGCGGUGAAAUGCGUAGAUAUUAGGAGGAACACCGGUGGCGAAGGCGGCCUGCUGGACGAUGACUGACGCUGAGGCUCGAAAGCGUGGGGAGCAAACAGGAUUAGAUACCCGGGUAGUC